GACGAACGCUGGCGGCGUGCCUAACACAUGCAAGUCGAACGAGAUCCAUGGGAGCUUGCUCCCGGAAGAUCUAGUGGCGAACGGGUGAGUAACACGUGAACAACCUGCCCCGGAAUCUGGGAUAACCCGAGGAAACUCGAGCUAAUACCGGAUACCUCCCUCUGAUCGCAUGGUCGGAGGAAGAAAGAAUUUCGUUCCGGGAGGGGUUCGCGGCCUAUCAGCUAGUUGGCGGGGUAACGGCCCACCAAGGCAUCGACGGGUAGCUGGUUUGAGAGAACGAUCAGCCACACUGGGACUGAGACACGGCCCAGACUCCUACGGGAGGCAGCAGUGGGGAAUCUUGCGCAAUGGGCGAAAGCCUGACGCAGCAACGCCGCGUGCGGGAUGAAGGCCUUCGGGUUGUAAACCGCUUUCAGCAGGGACGAAAAUGACGGUACCUGCAGAAGAAGCUCCGGCUAACUACGUGCCAGCCGCCGCCGUAAUAC
RNAcentral lists this ribosomal RNA (485 nucleotides) under uncultured bacterium. RNAcentral describes it as "bacterial SSU rRNA". It matches the Rfam family "Bacterial small subunit ribosomal RNA", at positions 28 to 526 of the family's 1533-position model. The record is from RNAcentral.